Long non-coding RNA from Trichomycterus rosablanca, 351 nucleotides. RefSeq lists it as uncharacterized. The record is from RefSeq and is a predicted model, not a curated record. The transcript has 3 exons. NCBI's taxonomy places the organism in Eukaryota, Metazoa, Chordata, Actinopteri, Siluriformes, Trichomycteridae.
AGUAAUGGACAAUCAACGACCUCAGGCCUUACUAAGACAUAAAGCUUUGGAGGGGUAGCAGCAUAAAUUGCAAUGUAAAUUGAAAGGCUGUUGGUUGAUAUGUGGACAGCUGUGACCUCCACAUAUUAUGAUAUCCUGCACAAUCUUGAACAAGUUGAGAUGCUGGACAUUGCAAAUACCCUGCACCUCUUUCUGGUACAUCUUGUGUUUCUUCCCCGACCUUCAGAUCUUUGUUGAAGGCUGGAACCAACAUCCCCUUUCAUGACCCCGGAACAAAUGUGGCAAAUGUAACUUUUGUACUGACUCUGACUUGUACUGAUUCUAUUCUCAUAGAUAUUAUAUAUAAAUAAA